GACGAACGCUGGCGGCGUGCUUAAUACAUGCAAGUUGAGCGAAGCAUAGGCAUCAAAUCUUCGGAUGCGAUGCUUAUGACUUAGCGGCGAACGGGUGAGUAACGCGUGGGUAACCUGCCCUUCAGACUGGGAUAACAGCUCGAAAGGGCUGCUAAUACCGGAUGAGAUUACUAUGUUGCAUGGCAUGGUAAUAAAAGUGAUUAGCGCUGAAGGAUGGACCCGCGUCCCAUUAGCUAGUUGGUGAGGUAACGGCUCACCAAGGCGACGAUGGGUAGCCGGCCUGAGAGGGUGUACGGCCACACUGGGACUGAGACACGGCCCAGACUCCUACGGGAGGCAGCAGUAGGGAAUCUUGCGCAAUGGGGGGAACCCUGACGCAGCAACGCCGCGUGAGCGAUGAAGGCCUUCGGGUCGUAAAGCUCUGUCCUAUGGGAAGAUAGAGACGGUACCAUAGGAGGAAGCCCCGGCUAACUACGUG
This 478-nucleotide ribosomal RNA is filed under the name uncultured bacterium. Its description in RNAcentral is "bacterial SSU rRNA". It matches the Rfam family "Bacterial small subunit ribosomal RNA", at positions 28 to 507 of the family's 1533-position model. The record is from RNAcentral.